Mus musculus (house mouse) is the source of this 1268-nucleotide long non-coding RNA. RefSeq annotates it as predicted gene, 36124. The record is from RefSeq and is a predicted model, not a curated record. The transcript has 5 exons. NCBI's taxonomy places the organism in Eukaryota, Metazoa, Chordata, Mammalia, Rodentia, Muridae.
UCAAUGAAUGUAAUGCAUUUGUGACUGUUUUCCUGCUUUGGGAGAGAGCGUAAUGUACUAGUUUGGAUGUUCCUGGUGACUGACAGCUGAACUUUUGCUUCUCAAUCAUCUCUGGGUCCUACUGCUUUGAUGUGGAGUCUGUAGUUACUGUGAAGAACCAAGAACAAAGUUGAGAAAAUUGAGCCUACUGUGAUGGCUUGUUCUACACAGCUUGCAGCAGAACCUCAUGUUGAAGAAAGUGCGCUGCCUGUGCACACAAACACAGAUUUUCCCCGAGUGGCUCCAGCUUAGAGGAGUGGCUGCCAAGUCUCAGCAAAAUCAGAAGUCUCUUCUGAGCAUAAAGAAGCCUCUGUGACACACAGAAGAGCAUCUCAGCUGACAUUUUGGCAGCUGAGCCACCAGAGUCCCCAGGGUUGAGAGGUCAGCUGUUAAAUAUAACUUUCUUACCAUGAAUAUCCACUCAAGCCCUCCUGGAAAGUCUGUGACACAGAACGUCCCAGUGAAGGUGAGAGAAUCCAUGAAGUCUUUCCUAUGGCCUGGGAAUUUAGAACAGGGUGGCCAUCCCUGAAUUACUCAUGCACAAAACACCUGUUGUCCAAAAAGAGAGAAGAAUCUAGUAGUCGUUAAAGCAAUAUAGGCAGAUUACCUCAGCUUAAUCACCAAUCUGUUCAACUGUCAGUGCCUGGGCCUAAGAGACCAUACCAGUGAGAUACCAGGGAUGGAGCGGAUACCUAUAAGUACUAAUAGCGCGAGCCAUCCAGUACAUCCCCACCCCACUUUGAUUGGUAGACACAUUGCGCCGAUUGAGUGAGUUCUAUCGAUGGUACAGAUGAAGAAACUUGGUCUUACUGAGGAAGAGGAUCUAGCCUUCGAAUGCGUGUGAUCUGGGACACUGAGCAUCAAGUAAUUGCCAAAAGUCUUGCCUUUGUAAAGUUUGGGAGAUACUGAAUGGGUGAACAUGAAGAAAACUAUUUUCAAAAGAGAAGAAGUGCCCACAAAGAAGAUAAAGCCAAGUAAAAGACUAGAUGUCAGAUGAGAGUAUUGGGAUCACCACAUUGCACCUUGUGUCCUCGGGAUCAUCUACUGAAGUUAAGCCUUUAGGGAAAAAUGAAAAGAAGAUAAAGAAGGCCCAAGGGAUGAGGAUGCACAGAGCAUGUGGGAUUAGAUGUCACUGGCACUAAACACUCAAGAAGGCCCGUGGCAGAGCCAAGGCCUCACUGCUGUCCUCCCAGUGUCCCGCAUCACCAGAGCUCUUAUCGUACCUGCAC